AUUUAAUUUAUUAUUAUUAAAUUAUAAUUUAUUUUUAAUAAAAAUAUUUUUAUAUAAAAUUAAAAUUAAGUAUAUUUAAGAAAAAUUUUAUAAUUAUUAUAGAUAAUUAGUAUUGUGAAAGAAUUAAUUUAAAUUUUAAAAAGUAAAUUUAAUUUGUUGUACCUUUUGUAUCAGGGUUUAUUUAAAAUAGUUUUGUAUUAAUAUUUCUCGAAUUUAAAAGGGUUAAUCUUAUAAUGAUUUAUUGUAAAAUAAAUACAUUUAAUAUAAUAUUAGUAGUGAAAAGUUAUUCGUUUUUAAUUAUAUCUAGUUUUUUUAGAAUUAAAUUUAAUUUAGUUAAUUUUUAUAUUAUGUUAUGUUUAUUUAUACAUAUAUUAAUUAUUUAUUAAUAAAGAUUUAAGGGUUAAGCUUUUUAUUUUUUUUAAAUAUUUAGUAAAAUUUUUAUAAAUAUAUAAAUAAAAUUUUUAAUUUGUUUAAGUUUUUUAUAAUAUAUUAUUUAAUUUAAUAUGAAUAUUUAUCUGAUUUUAUAAAAAUAUUAAUUUAUAUAUAAAAAAAAAUUUUUUAUUUUUAAAAAAUUUAUUAAAAUGAUAAAAUUAGUAUAUAUUUAAAAUAAAUUUUAUUUUUAAAUUUAUUAUAAUUUAAGAUAAGGAAUUCAGCAAUUUAAUAUUCGCCUGUUUAUCAAAAACAUGGUUUUUUGAAAAUAAUUUAAAAUUUAAUCUGCCCACUGAAAUUUUAAAUGGCCGCAGUAUUUUGACUGUGCAAAGGUAGCAUAAUCAUUUGUUUCUUAAUUAGGGACUAGUAUGAAGGAUUGGACGAGAUAUUUACUGUCUCAUUUUAAUAUUAAUAUAAAAUUUUAUUUUUUAGUUAAAAAGCUAAAAUUUAUUAAAAAGACGAGAAGACCCUAUAGAGUUUUAUUAAAGUUUUUAUAGUAUUUUAUAAGUUUAUAUUAAUAUUAUUAUUUUUUUUUAAUUUUAUUGGGGUGAUAGAAAAAUUUAUUAAACUUUUUAUAUAAAUAUUCAUUAAUAAAUGUAAUAAUUAAAAUUUUGAUCUUAAGAUUUAAAUUAAAAGAUUAAAUUACCUUAGGGAUAACAGCGUUAUUAUUUUGGAGAGUUCUAAUCAAUAAAAUAGUUUGCGACCUCGAUGUUGAAUUAAGAAAAAUAUUUGGUGAAAAAGUUAAAUGAUUAGGUCUGUUCGACCUUUAAAUUCUUACAUGAUUUGAGUUCAAAUCGGCGUGAGCCAGAUUGGUUUCUAUCUUUUAGAAUAUUAUAUAUUUUAGUACGAAAGGACCAAAUAUAUUAAUUAAAUUUUUAUUGUG
This 1312-nucleotide ribosomal RNA is filed under the name Mongoloraphidia harmandi. RNAcentral's name for it is "large subunit ribosomal RNA". The stretch from base 1082 to 1240 matches the Rfam family "Archaeal large subunit ribosomal RNA", at positions 2544 to 2703 of the family's 2987-position model. The record is from RNAcentral. Lineage: Eukaryota; Metazoa; Arthropoda; Insecta; Raphidioptera; Raphidiidae.